RNAcentral lists this transfer RNA (68 nucleotides) under Antedon mediterranea. Its description in RNAcentral is "transfer RNA-Met". The record is from RNAcentral. Lineage: Eukaryota; Metazoa; Echinodermata; Crinoidea; Comatulida; Antedonidae.
AAUAAAGUAAGCUAAAAAAGCUUUUAGGCUCAUGUCCUAAAUAUGGAAAUUAAACCUUCCCUUUAUUU